Non-coding RNA from Monascus purpureus, 90 nucleotides. NCBI's taxonomy places the organism in Eukaryota, Fungi, Ascomycota, Eurotiomycetes, Eurotiales, Aspergillaceae. The record is from the annotation of a GenBank genome assembly.
UCCGGUAUGGUGUAUCGGUUAGCAUCAUCGUCUUUCAUCACCAGUUGGUGAAGACCACGAUAGAGCCGGGUUCGACUCCCGGUACCGGAA